This is a long non-coding RNA of Gossypium arboreum, 476 nucleotides long. RefSeq lists it as uncharacterized. Lineage: Eukaryota; Viridiplantae; Streptophyta; Magnoliopsida; Malvales; Malvaceae. The transcript has 3 exons. The record is from RefSeq and is a predicted model, not a curated record.
UAAAAAUGAUUGGUACAAGUGUUAAAUAAAUAUUUGUUAUUAAAUAGAUUUUUAUUAUAGUUAUUAUUGUCAUUAUAUAUAUAUAUAUAAAAGAAACAAAAGAAUAAAAAGAGGAAAGAAACAGAAUAGCAGGGGACGAAACAGAGAAGGGAGAAAGGAAGAAAAGAAAAAGGGAAAAAUAAGGUUUUAAAGGUUCUAAGUUAAUUUGCUAAUGUUGUCUCGGGAAACCUCGGCUAAGCAAGGAAAAAAAAUGGCAAAGACAAAGGGAGUUAGCUCGAGAAAAUACGGUUAAGUAAAGAUAGUACGUUGAAUCAACAUCCCAGUCCGAUCCCAAAUUCAUUAAGGUAAAGUGUGUUAAUUAUUGGUAAUGGCAUGUACCUAGGAUGUCUUAUGUGUAUGUCAUUUUGAAAUUGUAAAUGUAAGGAUAAAAUAAAUAAAUUUAGAUAUGGCUAUGGUAUAAAAUAGGAUUUGACUAA